This is a non-coding RNA of Drosophila melanogaster (fruit fly), 1549 nucleotides long. NCBI's taxonomy places the organism in Eukaryota, Metazoa, Arthropoda, Insecta, Diptera, Drosophilidae. The record is from Ensembl.
GCUACCUGCCGCUCAAACGUCACAGUUUGCUUCGGAAUUUAUGGCCCAAACAGGGCCCUAAGUUCGGUUUAGUGUGCCAUUGUUCUGGUCGGUCCUCCUCACAUCUCCCAUGACAAUUGGCAAAACAAGAACGCCGCCAAAUGGCAAACCAGUCCGUCAGACCGUCGAAUGCCGUUGAGGAUGAGGUUGAGGAUGAGGAUAGGGAGGCUGGGACAGGAGGAGUUGUGUCCUGUCCUGCCAAUGCCCCAACGCAGCACCAGCCGAGGUCCCAGCCACUUGACCAGGCGAAAAACGAGCGGCCAACUGGUUGCAACUGGCAACUUUGCUGCCAAGCAUGCGCCAAAGAAUUUCGCCAGCGAUUUUCGGAAUGUCUACAAUGCCCAGAGUGUGCAAGAAAAACAUCAACAAAAAAUCGCGAAAGAAUGAAAACAAAAACACGGGAGGACUGGUCUGCCAAAAGGCGCGAUGAGUGGGACAUGCCCAAAUUCUGACAUAUUCUGGACCUCUGCGAUAAAAUGGUACGUUAGUCGUCAGAUCCGAGAUCUCAGUUUAAGGGUAAUUUGCAAGAAAAGUCAAAGACGAAGGCCACUAUUACGUACUCUAUUGAUAUAUUAUUAUUAAAAAGGGGCUUUGCAAUAAGCAUUUAAUAGUAACCUACAUCUAGUUUCAACGGUUGCCCGACAAUGCUACCUUCUCAAAACUCAACUCAAAUAUUGUCUUUCAACAUCCGCAGCUAACUAAUUUCAAUUCCAAACACUAUCUUAAUUACCCAAAGAUUCCCAUCAGUCGAAAAUGGGAAUGGGUUCCUAACUGUUUGCUUUACCAUACCCAUUUGAACGGUAUUCGGAAAGAUAAUGUGCUGCCAUCAUGGGCUCCGUAAGAACAUUUUCGGUUUGCUAUCUGGAACUGAUCAGCGGGCCACACUUGAGGGAUUAUAGUCGGUCAGAGGCAAGGACGUGUCUCCAAAUGGAAUGGAAGGAGAUGGGAUGGGAUGUGGAGGUGACUGCUGUUGUGACAGCGAAGCGUCCCUCGCUAGGCUCUUUGUUGUCGGGGAAUAAAUCAACGGAGACCCGGCUCGCAACUCGAAACGCAACUGAGCCGCAGUCCCAGGUAGCCGGAACGAGAUGAGACUUCGAACGUCCAGCUUUGAGCUCAAUUAGUGCAGUCGCCUGGGCUCUUUGUGUGCUGUUGCAUUCUUUGAAUGCCGAGGUGGCAUUUGAUUGAUAAUUUCGUUACGCCUCGAACAUGGCCCACAAAAAACCAAGGAAAGCAAGACACACGCGGAACUUGGAAAACCGAAAAUAAAAAUAUAUUGAAUUUUAUAAGUGUGGGUUCCAGAGAGCCGAGAUUUAUGACAAGUUCAUGCUGCCCCUCCGAUCGUUAUAAGGCAAUAAUCAGCUCUUUGUCGCCGAUUCGCUGGAACGCCAAACACCACAAGAUGCUUAGUGCCCGCAUCUGAUUUUCGGAUUAGGAACGACAAUAAGACAAUUUGGAAAUGAAAACCAUUUCCCUAACGGGAUUUACUACAUGAUGCUCCAAAGUCGACCUG